Molecule: long non-coding RNA, 1430 nt
Organism: Gallus gallus (chicken)
Lineage: Eukaryota; Metazoa; Chordata; Aves; Galliformes; Phasianidae
Exons: 2
Source: RefSeq, a predicted model, not a curated record
ACCUGGAGAUUCUGAGCACACCAGCACAACACUCCACUGCAGGGACAGAGCAAAGAGGAUUUGCAGAGCAUUCAGACUAAGUUCACAAAGAGAGAAGAUCCUCUCUUAUAGCCACCUAGAAAAGCAUUACUCCAAGGCCAGCGCAACACUGCCCACAGCUACUUCCAACCAGUGGCAGAUGUCACCUCCCCAGCUGCUGUGCUCCAGCAUGGAGACAGAGGGAUGGGCAUGCAACACCCACCAUGUUGUGACAGGAGGGCCUCGCUGUCUGCAGACGUACAAGCAAACAGAAAUCAAAGCCUGCCUGGAAACUGAAUGAAGUUGGAAUCUGUUGGUGGAAGCUGCUGGACUGUUCCUAAAAACACUGCAGCAGCAGGUGAGAGGCCUCCUUCUGAAGGAGCAGCGCUGCUGUCACCUAACACACAGUCAUUAGCACCUAAGACUUGUAUGUACUCCUCUGGUCCCCACUAUUUUCAUAGCACUUCCUUAUGUCUGAACAGCAUAUUCUGCUGGAAAGACAACUUGGUGAAGCAAAUCACUCAUCUAACAAUGAGCGUAAUAGUUGGUCUACCUACAGUGCUUAGAUAGCAAGCAACAAUCCCAAUACUGAACACCUCAGUCAGUGCUGUCAGCUACUUAUUAUUAAGAAGUCUUGUUAUACUUCACCUGGGGAUGCUUAUCUGAGCAGCACCUGUUCUGCAUAAGCUUUAUUAUGCACAGUCAAAAUGAAGCAACUGUUUGGUGUUAUGUCACACACUAAGCCAUUUCAUGCAGCAGUUUACAGAUCAAACAACUCAAACCUUGAGUAUUUGGGGAGGAAAGGCAACAUUCUUCAACACUUAUUGAGGCAACACUUUCAAUGAUAACUGACAGCAUUAAAAACACACUGUCAAGGCUGUCCCAUCCUGAUCUUUGAUAAAAUUUCAUUUCUCAUUUUAAGUGACAAGAUUAUCAGCUAUGCCAACAAAGAAGAACAUCAAUCAGCAAGCUGAUGAGCAGCACUGGACUAGCAUAAGGAAGAUUCCAGACUUGAGAUGUGGGAUUUGGAAUACCCACGUCAUAUCUUUUAUUGAAAUUGCUUAAUACUUUAUAUUACACUAUUUUGAUUCAAAAUGGAGUUUUUAUAAAAAGAAACCAUUGUUGAAACUGAAUAAGCCUGCCAAAAUAAACAAUGAAGAGUUUCAAAAAAUUCUAACCAACACAAUCUUGUAGAAUUUUUUGAAGCCUUAUCAUUGCCCAUAAAUUAAAGAAACACCUGGAGAAGAGCAAAACUGCUAGAGGAAAUCUGACUUCCAUUCAUUGCCAGCAACGCUGCAAAUCAAUGACCAUGGCCAGGAACUCCGUGUAAGAGUUUGAACUUAGGCUUUCAGAAACAGCAGCCCAAUGUUCUUUUCAUAAUGAAUGACAGAGAGGUAUUGUACAGACUGGGG